Molecule: non-coding RNA, 24 nt
Filed under: Arabidopsis thaliana (thale cress)
Lineage: Eukaryota; Viridiplantae; Streptophyta; Magnoliopsida; Brassicales; Brassicaceae
Source: RNAcentral
AGAGAAAACACACAGCGCAAUAAA